UCGCGGCGUAGUCGAGGCCGCCGUACUUCUCCCAGUCCUCCUGGGACAGCGCGAGGCCGCCGAAGUAGCCGUUGCCGCUGUUCUGGCUCCACGCGCCGCCGG
RNAcentral lists this transfer RNA (102 nucleotides) under Streptomyces lomondensis. RNAcentral describes it as "tRNA-Arg". Lineage: Bacteria; Bacillati; Actinomycetota; Actinomycetes; Kitasatosporales; Streptomycetaceae. The record is from RNAcentral.